Molecule: long non-coding RNA, 4439 nt
Filed under: Sus scrofa (pig)
Lineage: Eukaryota; Metazoa; Chordata; Mammalia; Artiodactyla; Suidae
Description: lncRNA (ENSSSCG00025073872.1)
Source: RNAcentral
AUUUCUUAGGCCGCUCCCGCGGCAUAUGGAGGUUCCCAGGCUAGGGGUUGAAUCGGAGCUGUAGCCACCAGCCUACGCCAGAGCCACAGCAACGCAGGAUCUGAGCCACAUCUGUGACCCACACCACAGCUCAUGACAACGCCGGAUCCUUAACCCACUGAGCAAGGCCAGGGAUCGAACCCGCAACCUCAUGGUUAACCACUGAGCCACGACAGGAACUCUAAUUUUUAUGCUUUUAGAUAUAUCUUCAUGUUAACAUGACAGGGCACUGGAGAGAUGCUAUGAACAGUGGCUUCCAAUUUAGGCAUGGGUGCAAUGCCCUCUCUUUAAAAGUUUUCACACUAAACCCAACAACAUUGAUGAAGGGAGGGAAAAAGAAGCGAGAGGAUGAGUGGAGUAAACAUGAAAAUAGGAGGCAAAAAAAAUAAAAGGACUAACACAACACCCACACAGUAGCCAUGGUAUGCUGGUUGAAAAGAAUAUAAAUGAUCUUUAUUUUCAUUUUGAUUAGCUGUCUUUCUUAAACUUUCUCCUUGCAUGUUUUCCUUUCCCCAGUUCCCACAGUAAAUGCUUUAAAGGAAGAGAAUGAGUUUCUCAGCCUCUGAUGCAAUGCCAGAUUUUCUAGGAUUGCAAAUCCUAGGUUUAACUUCUAAAGUUCCUAUUUUAAUUUCUAGUAUGCAAAUCUUGCUCUUUAGAAAUUCCUUUUCUACUGUCUUUUAGUGUAAUUAUUUAUUGCUUUUAAAGGAUCACCUAGAAAGAAGAAAAACAUUUUUUUUUGAAAAGAAAAAAGAAAUUCCGCCCUUUCUCAAACCAUCAACACUUUUUUGGAAAAAAAAAAAUGACAAGAAAAAAUAUUAUAAAGAAAUAUAGGAGUUCCCAUCAUGGCUUAGUGGAAAUGACUCUGACUAGAAUCCAUGAGGACACAGGUUCAAUCCCUGGCCUCGCUCAGUGGGUUAAGGAUCUGGUGUUGCCAUGAGCUGUUGUAUAGGUUGAAGACGUGGCUGAUAUUGCUGUGGCUGUGGCAUAGGCUGGCUGCUGCAGCUCUGAUUUGGCCCCUGGGACUCUCCAUAUGCUGUGUGUGUGGCCCUAAAAACACACACACAAAAUAAAAAAAGAAAAAAAAAAAAAGAAAUGUAACAUUGCCCAGUCUAAGCAUAUUUAAAUUCCGUAGCAUUGAGAGUCACCGACUGUUCACUGGGUAGAAAAAUCACCUUUUAAAUGCAUCUGCACUGUUUACCCUGCUUCCCAACACAGAAGUUUAGGACCAGCCCAUGUCCUCUUUAUAGACAAAAGGAGCAGGGGUCAAUAGUUCCAGAAUCCAACUAUAUUUGUUUAACAUUAACACUCUUUGUUGUCUGGGGGGUUGUGCUUUUUGUUUGUUUUUUUGCAUAAGGUUGGUUAUGAACAUUUUUAUAGAUUUAAACAGUUCUAAAUUCAAAAAAUGGAGGAAAAUAAGUCACUUGUUUUGAUUUAAAACUCUGUCUUGAACAUUCAAAUUACCACACUUCUCAGAUAAUCUGAUGACCCUCAUCUUUUGGAUGUACCCCAGCUUUUUUGUCACUCUGUGUACACACAGCUUUAUUUACGUCCAACCUUAACUCCGAGGCUUUUCAGUGAAAGUGUCUUACUUUACAGAUGCAUUCCUCACUUCUAAAAAACUUCCCCAUCACUUAAACAUUUCACUAAAUCCUUCUUCCGUGAAGAACUUUUCAGACUGUUCAGGAAAAAAAAAUGUGACAACACUACCUUUGUGCCUUUUGAACAGUGUCAAUUUUUUCCCCUAUACCUCUACUAGAUUGUAUCAAAGAAGAAUGUUUGGGGCUGCAAGUGACAGAGAACCAUGCUUAAAUCUGUUGUUAAAUCCUAGGAAUCCAUAUUCUCUCACUGAACUGGUAGCCAGGAGACAGGUCAUGCUAGGGCUCUUUCAAGGGCUCACCAGUAUUGUCAAGGACCCAGACACUUCUCACACUCGCAUGCCAUCAUCCUCAGCGUGCUGGGUUUUAUUCCAAAUCCUGUUGCCUCACUGUACCUGUUGCAUGAUGGCUGCUACACAUCCUCACACAGUGCUUAAACGUAAGAAUCAAGGGUAUUGCGAAAGAUGUUUUCUCAGAAGGCUCUGUCCUUUGUUUGGGAAGGAACAUUUCUGGAAGUCUUCCUUAGAGCCACAUAAGUCAGAACUGGAUCAUAUGGAUACUCCUUGUUACAAGCAAGGCUGUGAAAGUAUCUCUCUUAAACCGCUAGUUAAAUUCAGGCUCUUUUUUGGUAUGAUUUGAAUGAAUAAAUCUCUUUUGCAUACAUGUAAUUCUCCCCACCUCCCCCACAGCUCGCAAUUUCCCGCAAGCCACCAAAAUAUCCCACCUGAACUACCCCAACAAUUCCUAACUGGUUUCCUCAGAGCCCCACCUAUCACCUCUACCAUGUCACUUCCUCUUUAAUGGAUUAUGUUCAAAAAUCCUAUCACGAGUGACAAGGUCCUGAAUGGUCUGGUCACACCCACUCUUCUAGCUUCCUCUCCUGCAGUGCUUCAGCUCAGUCUGCACUCAGAUCACAAUGGCCAUCUCUCUGCUCCUUUAAAAAGCCCCAGCCCCUUCACAUCUCCCAGCUUUCCCACAUGCAAUUCCCUCUGCAGUGCUCACCCAUUCUCCACCUCCCUAGUCCCUUCUGCCUCAUUUCUCAUUAGUUUUCAUGUCUCCAUUUAAAUAUUCUUACUGCAUGCAAAGGUUAUUUACAAGGUGUUAUCAAGUCAAUGAAACACAGAAAUAUCCAAAGUUGUUAGGUAUAAAUGGGAGGGAUGUAAGAGAAUGAUUGUUUUUUAUUUCAGCAGUUAGUAUAUAUUCAUCUAUUAAGAAAAUGCUGGGAUUCCUGUCGUGGUGCAGCAGAAACAAAUCCCAUUAGGAACCAUGAUGCUGCAGGUUCAAUCCCUGGCCUCGAUCAGUGGGUUAAGGAUCCUGUGUUGCUGUGGCUGUGGUAUAGGCCGGCAGCUGUAGCUCUGAUUGGACUGCUAGCCUGGGAACCUCCAUAUGCUGCAGGUUCAGUUCUUAAAAGAAAAAAAAAAAAAAAGAAAGAAAGAAAAACAAAAAAAAGAAAAUUCUACCCCUUUGUGAAAUCAUGCUAGUUGAGGAGUCAUUUGGCAGGACUCAUUUUCUUUUCCUAAAUGUGUUCCCUCUUGCACCCAUUUGAUUAACAGUGUAGCAGUGCAGCACCACUCCUUCCUAGCACUGAGGGUUCCUUAGACAGGGCCCUCCUCCUUGGUCCAGCAUCAUCUCUGUAAUAGGAUGACACUCUGAUGACUUGUCUCAUCCUCCUUUCACAGUUGUUGGCCUGUCUUUGUUCAGGUCUGCUGCUAUGAUUGCAAGUCUCCUCUCUAAAACUAAUCGCAAUAAAUAUAUGAAAAUGCAUCACUUUCUUAUGCUGCUGUGGCACAUAUCAUUUAAAAAUCCAAGGAUGCUGAAUUAAGAAAGAUAUAUUCCUUUUUUUGUAUUACAUAUAUUGAAGUACUCCACAACAUUUAUUUCUAUUAAUUGCAUAUAGUAACCUAUUUGAGAAAGACAUGUCUUUCACUACUUGCACCACCUCAGAAAGUCCUGAAGAGGCUGGGAUGUCAGUUGCUUCAUAUCCAGUCCUUCGAUUGGUCCAUGAGCUCGGGGAACAUCAAAGUACUUCUUUGAGAAAGAGAGGCAUCCUGGAAGAUGCAGCUGGUUGCACCUCUGCCUUCAUUAGUGAAAAUGCCCCACGUCAAAGACUUUCUGUUCAACCAAUGAAAGGUACCCAUAUGGGUCUGAGAGCAAAAGCCUCCUGAACCUUGAUACAGUCCACAGGUACACCUCACUUCCAGCUCAGGGCUGGAUUUGGACUCCUUGGGUGCAGCGGCUAUGCACAGACUUCCAGAUCUAAAGGAAGGAAAUUCACAUCCUGAAUCAUGCUAAGAGCCGGACACUGGCAGGCUGUGGUCUAAGGUGCUGGUUAAGACUGCUGGAGCCGGAAUCAGCUCUCUUAGGUACAAAUCCAGCUCUGCCGAGAACCAACAGUCCAACCUUGGGCAACCGUUUCACCUUUCAGAGCUAAGUUCUCCUAGACAAUAAUAGUACCGACCUCCUAGGCUUGCUGUGAAGGGGAGUAAACGAGUUAAUCCACAGAAAGCGCUUGGAACAGCGCCUAGCUGGCACAUAACAAACUUGUUAAUAUUACAGCCUUUCAACUCAGGGCGCCUGCAACUCUGCAACAUUUUUCCUGGGCAUUGAAGGGCUCCAGUGAGUUACAAAGCUUGCGAUUCUGAGAUCUGAGUGGCCACAGCUGGGGACCCGGAAAGGAUAAAAGAAACCAGGGGAGAAGCAAAGGGAGAGCUGCGACAUUUACCCACCGGAGCCCACCUACAGCCUCGGUAUCCUGGCCUCCUCUCUCCUCUACGCUUUCUUCUUUCAGGACUCCGACUCGCAAGC